RNAcentral lists this long non-coding RNA (1562 nucleotides) under Spirodela polyrhiza (greater duckweed). Its description in RNAcentral is "long non-coding RNA (SPOL_LNC002560)". Lineage: Eukaryota; Viridiplantae; Streptophyta; Magnoliopsida; Alismatales; Araceae. The record is from RNAcentral.
AUUACAGGCUGAUGGUUCAUCGGCCCAUUCUUCAUUUGCAAGUUCUUCUAGGCCGGCCUAGUUAUGACUAAAUUUUAUGGGAAACCAACGUAGUCAUUUUUUCAUUUGUGAAGGGCUCUUCGGUCGGCGCAGCUCAUUUAAUGCACUUGCUGAAGUAUUUCAGCUGUUGUUGCAGCAUUAAAUUUUCUUCUCUCAGACUAUUGACAUCCGCCUGCAUUGAUUCCAUACUCAGUUGAAGAUUAGAGUUGACAUCAUCUAAUACAAUUUCUAAGGAAUCCAUUUUUGAAUCAGCAGUCUUGGGCGGCGUGGCUCUGAUACCUGUGGUCGAGUUCCGAAGAUAAAAAAUCUUGAAGAAUUGAAACGAUAACAACACCGGAGAGAACAGAGAUAGAGACACUCGAAAUAAGGCCCACGGCAUCCUCAUUACUUGUUCCUAAAUACCGAUGUCUUCCGGCGGCUCUUCUUUUUUAUUUACGAUCCACCGCCAUGUCAUAUUUCUUCAAAUGGGUAUACGCCGGUGAUAAUCGGUCCCUCCUGUAUCUCCUGCCAUCUCGAGUUUCUAUGCAUGACGCUUGUCAGGUCCUACAGCGGGAGGGAGGUCCCGAGUCUGUCAAGGCCCUAUCAGUUGGACAGUGUAGAUCGGGGAGCCGAGCAUCAUGAAACCCUCCGAUUCCUUGAAAUUCCCCAACACGAACUCUCCAGUGAUCAAUGGAUAGGGAACCAUCUCGCACAAUGAUGCCAUUUGCCCAGCACUAGCCAGGGCAUUGUUAGAUGAAAGAACCAGGGGUCAUGGCCAUCGUUCCUACGGAAGCUUCGCUCCCGAAUGUAGUCCUAGCCCUAAAGAACACUUUGAGGGAAAUCAGAUGGAUAGCUCCGCUUACUCUCCGUGGGACUGAGUAUGGCCAGUGAUGGGGGAAGUCACUGGAGUCGUCUCCUCGCCGCCGGACAUUCAUCCGGCAGAUCGGCGAAGCGGCAGGACGUCGAUGAUGCACCGGAGAUCCCGCUCCUCGUGGCGUGGAAUUCGGGAAAAGGUACAUCGAGCAGCGGCGGGCACUCGGCCUCGGGCGGGAAGGGCGUGAGCCCCGAGGUCAUCAAUUUGAAAAAUCUCACGGCGCACCUCCCCGUACCGCUCUCCCCUUUGAGGUCGAUGCAGGCCUGGCAGGCGCAAUGCGCCUCGGAUGGGUCGGCCGAGAUGUCCACAACCUUCUAGAAGGAGAGGAGCGGCAGGCACAGUGAAUCGGGAAGGCAACCAGUCCCACAUUGCCUUGCGGAUGUCGUCUCCGAAGACCGAGGGAGGCCACUCCGCCGAUCGUCAGACGUCCGGUCGACCUACCGACGGAUCUCGCCGGUGAAGAACCACGACGUAGAGGGGGGGAUCUCUAGAGAUCCUUGAAGAAAUACCAGCAACAGAAGGAGGAGGCGGAGGAGGAAGAAUACCUGGAAUCUGAGGUUCUUCUUCAGAAGGGCGUCCGCCUGCGUGAAGAAGGUCGCCGCUCCUGUGGGAGGGCGGGGCAGCGGCUUCCACCGCGAGUGAAGGCGGCGGAAAAGAGCAGCCGAUCGAG